RNAcentral lists this ribosomal RNA (487 nucleotides) under uncultured bacterium. Its description in RNAcentral is "bacterial SSU rRNA". It matches the Rfam family "Bacterial small subunit ribosomal RNA", at positions 1 to 505 of the family's 1533-position model. The record is from RNAcentral.
GCCCUUAGAGUUGAUUCCUGGCUCAGGACGAGCGCUGGCGGCGCGCCUAACACAUGCAAGUCGAACGAGAGAUGAGGAGCUUGCUCUUCAGAUCGAGUGGCGAACGGGUGAGUAACGCGUGAGGAACCUGCCUCAAAGAGGGGGACAACAGUUGGAAACGACUGCUAAUACCGCAUAAGCCCACGGCUCGGCAUCGAGCAGAGGGAAAAGGAGCAAUCCGCUUUGAGAUGGCCUCGCGUCCGAUUAGCUAGUUGGUGAGGUAACGGCCCACCAAGGCGACGAUCGGUAGCCGGACUGAGAGGUUGAACGGCCACAUUGGGACUGAGACACGGCCCAGACUCCUACGGGAGGCAGCAGUGGGGAAUAUUGCACAAUGGGGGAAACCCUGAUGCAGCGACGCCGCGUGGAGGAAGAAGGUCUUCGGAUUGUAAACUCCUGUUGUGAGGAAGAUAAUGACGGUACUCAACAAGGAAGGACGGCUACUCUG